This is a long non-coding RNA of Rhineura floridana, 519 nucleotides long. RefSeq lists it as uncharacterized. The transcript is spliced from 3 exons. The record is from RefSeq and is a predicted model, not a curated record. NCBI's taxonomy places the organism in Eukaryota, Metazoa, Chordata, Lepidosauria, Squamata, Rhineuridae.
AAUACAAAGAAGAGGCUAAGGAAAAGUAUUUCCCCAGUAGAGGCCCUCUUCAGGGUGUUCUCAUAAGCCCUAUUGGGUGUGGCCAAAACAGAGAUACCAGCAGCUGAGGUUUUUCUUUCCAGAGGCAUUGAGGCUUAAGACCCCUGUCUGCUUUGGGGAAGAGUCUCCCCUGGAACAAUAAAUCAGCUCGGAGAAGGAAAGGUCUGGUAAAGGAUGUGCUACUGGGAGGAACUGAAGCCUGAGAUGACACUAGAUAAUGUGAAGUAACACUUCUGUAAUACUGCUGGAUCUCCAGCUGAAUAGAUUUUUUUUCCAUCUUUAGGCUUGCUCUUCUGUUCCGGCCAGUUGUGCAAACCAGAGGAAACUGCAUGAUUAGAAUGAAUGAUCCCAUGAGGAACAAGAACAGACAUGGAAAGCAUUGCCUCGCUCAAACCAUAACUCUUAGAGGAAGAACUGAGGGGAUUAUUCAAAAAUAUGACUCUGCCUACAUGGAGUGUGAAGUGGCACAAUCUAUUCUAC